This is a long non-coding RNA of Orcinus orca (killer whale), 4514 nucleotides long. RefSeq lists it as uncharacterized. The record is from RefSeq and is a predicted model, not a curated record. NCBI's taxonomy places the organism in Eukaryota, Metazoa, Chordata, Mammalia, Artiodactyla, Delphinidae. The transcript is spliced from 4 exons.
UUGGAGCAUUUAAUCCAUUCACAUUUAAGGUGAUUAUCGAUAUGUAUGUUACCGUUACCAUUUUCUUAAUUGUUUUGGGUUUGUUUUUGUAGGUCCUUUUCUUCUCUUGUGUUUCCCACUUAGAGAAGUUCCUUUAGCAUUUGUUGGUGGUGCUGAAUUCUCUUAGCUUUUGCUUGUCUGUAAAGCUUUUGAUUUCUCCAUCGAUUCUGAAUGAGAUCCUUGCUGGCUAGAAUAAUCUUGGCUGUAGGUUCUUUUCUUUCAUCACUUGAAAUAUAUUGUGCCACUCCCUUCUGUCUUGUAGAGUUUCUGCUGAGAACUCAGCUGUUAAUCUUAUGGGAGUUCCCUUGUAUGUUGUCAUUUUUCCCUUGUUGCUUUUAAUAAUUUUUCUUUGUCUUUAAUUUCUGUCAACUUGAGUACUAUGUGUCUCAGCAUGUUCGUCCUUGGAUUUAUCCAGCCUGGGACUCUCUGCGCUUCCUGGACUUGGGUGGCUACUUCCUUUCCCACGUUAGGGAAGUUAUCGACUAUAAUCUCUUCAAAUAUUUUGUCGGGUCCUUUCUCUCCUCUCCUUCUGGGACCUCUAUAAUGUGAAUGUUGGUGCGUUUAAUGUUGUCCCAGAGGUCUCUUAGGCUGUCUUCAUUUCUUUUCAUUCUUUUUUUUUAAUCUGUUCCACAAUAGUGAAUUCUACCAUUAUGUCUUCCAGGUCACUUAUCUGUUCUUCUGCCUCAGUUAUUCUGCUACUGAUUCCUUCUAGUGUAUUUUUCAUUUCAGUUAUUGUAUUGUUCAUCUGUGUUUGUUUGUUCUUUAAUUCUUCUAUGUGUUUGUUCUUUAUUUCUUGUAGGUCUUUGUUAAAUAUUUCUUGCAUCAUCUCGAUCUUUGGCUCCAUUAUUUUUCCGAGGUCCUGGAUCAUCUUCAUGAUGGUUAUUCUGAAUUCUUCUCCUGGAAAGAUGCCUAUCUCCACUUCAUUUAAUUGUUUUGCUGGGUUUUUAUCUUGUUCCUUCAUCUAAUACGUAGUUCUCUGCCUUUUCAUUUUGUCUAUUUUUCUGUGAAUGUGGUUUUCGUUCCACAGCCUGCAGGAUUGUAGUUCUUCUUGCUUCUGCUGUCUGCUCUCUGGUGUAUGAGGCUGUCUAAGUGCCUUGUUCAAGCUUUCUGAUGGGAGGGACUGGUGGUGGGUAGAGCUGGGUGUUGCUCUGGUGGGCAGAGCUCAGUAAAACUUUAAUCUGCUUGUGAUGGAUGGGGCUGAGUUCCCUCCUUGUUGAUUGUUUGGCCUGAGGUGACCCAGCACUGGAGGUGACCAGUGCUGGUCACAGGCUCUUUGGUGGGGCUAAUGGCAGACUCCGUGAGGGCUCAUGCCAAGGAGUACUUCCCAUUACUUCUGCUGCCAGUGUCCUUGUCCCAACAGUGAGUCACAGCCACCUCCCACCUCUGCAGGGGACCCUCCAACACUAGCAGCUUCAUGGUUGAUCUGAAGAGGGGGUAGGACUGUAGAUCCUGUGGAUGCCUAGGCUAAGGAGACAAGAUGGUGGAGUAGAAGGACUUGAGCUCGCCUCCUUUCAUGAAAACACCAAAAUCACAACUAACUAACUGCUGAACAACCAUUGACAAAAAAAGACUGGAACCUACCAAAAAAGAUAUUCUACAUCCAAAGACAAAGAAGAAGCUACAACAAGAUGCCACUUCUAGACAUGCCACUUGACCUGGCCCUGCCCACCAGAGGGACAAGAUCCAGCUCCACCCACCAGUGGGCAGGCACCAGUCCCCUUCCAUCAGGAAGCCUGCACAAGCUCCUGCACCAACCUCACCCACCAGAGGGCAGACACCAGAAGCAAGAAAAACUACAGUCCUGCAGCCUGUGGAACAGAGCCCCUAAACACAGAAAGACAAAAUGAGAUGGCAAAGAAAUAUGUUCCAGAUGAAGGAACAAGAUAAAACCCCAGAACAGCAACUAAGGAAGUAGAGAUAGGCAAUCUGCCUGAAAAAAGAAUUCAGAAUAAUGACAGUAAAGAUGAUCCAAGAUCUCAGAAAAAGAAUGGAGGCACAGACUGAGAAGAUAUAAGAAAUGUUUAACAAAGAGCCAGAAGACUUAAAGAACUAACAAACAGAGAUGAACUAUACAAUAACUGAAAUGAAAAAUACACUAGAAGGAAUCAAUAGCAGAAUAAAUGAGGCAGAAGAAGGGAUAAGUGAGCUGGAAGACAGAUUGGUGGAAAUCACAAUGGCAGAACAGAAUAAAGAAAAAAGAAAAGAAACCAGGACAGUCUAAGAGACUUCUGGGAUGAAUAUAACACUAGAAAAGAUCUGAAACUAAGAGCUGGUUCUUUGAAAAGACAAACAAAAUUGAUAAACCUUUAGCCAGACUCAUCAAGAAAAAAAAGGAGAGGACUCAAAUCAAUAAAAUUAGAUAUGAAAAAGAAGUUACAACAGACACCACAGAAAUACAAAGCAUCAUAAGAGACUACUACAAGCAACUCGUAUGCCAAUAAAAUGGACAACCUAGAAGAAAUGGAAAAAUUCUUAGAAAGGUACAAUCUUUCAAGAUUGAACCAGGAAGAAAAAGAAAAUGUGAACAGACCAAUCACAAGUAAUGAAACUGAAGCUGUGAUUAAAAAACUUCCAAAAAACAAAAGUCCAGAACCAGAUGGCUUCACAGGCAAAUUCUAUCAAACAUUUAGAGAAGAGUUAAAACCUAUCUUUCUGGAACUAUUCCAAAAAAUUAUAAAGGAAGGAACACUUCCAAACUGAUUCCAUGAGGCCACCAUCACCCUGAUAGCCAAACCAGAAAAAAAUAUCACAAAAAAGAAAAAUAUCACUGAUGAACAUAGAUGCAAAAAUCUUCAACAAAAUACCAGCAAACUGAAUCCAACAAUACAUUAAAAGGAUCAUACACCAUGAUCAACUGGGAUUUAUGCCAGGGGUGUAAGGAUUUUUCAAUAUCCACAAAUCAAUCAGUGUGAUACACCACAUCAACAAAUUGAAGAAUAAAAACCAUAUGAUCAUCUCAAUAGAUGCAGAAAAAGCUUCUGACAAAAUUCAAAACUGAUUUCUGAUAAAAACUCUCCAGAAAGUGGGCAUAUAGAGAGAACCUACCUGAACAUAAUAAAGGGCAUAUAUGACAAACCAACUGCUAACAUCAUACACAACAGUGAAAAGCUAAAAGCAUUUCCUCUAAGAUCAGGAACAAGACAACCACUUUUGCCACUUUUAUUCAACAUCAUUUUUUAUUCAACAUCAUUUUUUAAGUCUUAGCUACAGCAAUCAGGGAAGAAAAAGAAAUAAAAUGAAUCCAAAUUUGAAAAGGAGAAGUAAAAUGGUCACUGUUUGCAGAAGACAUGAUACUAUAUGACAUAUACAUAUAUAUAUACAUAUAUAUGUAUAUAAAAGAUAAUAAGAGCAUGGUAACAGAAAACAUAAAAAGGAACUAUGUUAUAUUAUGGGUCCUAUUAAAAUAUCAGCUCUCUAAUUUGCUUUUAAAUAUAGACCAUUUCAAAUCAAACUUGAGUCAGUAAUUUUUUAAAAAGUUAACCUUGCAUACAAAUAAAUAAGAAGAAAAACUAUGUUAAAAAAGAGAAAGAAUAUAAAAAUGUAUUAUAAAACUACAGUAAUUAAAACAGUGUGAUCUGGACCACGAACAGAGAAAGAAAACAGUGAAAUGAAGUCCAUGUCAAUUUAUGACAAAAUGAAGGUAGCUUUUCAAAUUACUUGGGGAAUAGAUGGACUGUUUAAUUAAUUUGACUGACACAACUGCUAAUUUUGAGGGGAAAAAUAAAGUUAGAUGUGCAACUCCCAACAAAGAAAAAAAGUAUAUACAAAAAUAAAAGAAUAAAAUCACUAGGAGAAAAUAUAGGAAGUCAUUUUCAUUAUAUGAUAUGGAUAAUACAAUUUUUAACAUGAUUACAGGUCAUAAACUACUAAGAAUCACAUUGAAAAGUCUGUAAAGACAAAACUAAAACAUUUGUUUACUUUAAAAUAUACCAUAAUCAAAGUUGAAAAUUAAAUGGAAAGAAAGUAUCAAUAUAUACACAAGGUUAAUAACUUUAAGACAUAGAGUGUUCUUAAGUGUUAAAGAUCAAAAUGACAAGAGAGAAUUAUAGGAAAAAUAAGUUUAUUCAGAAGUUAGACAUACACCAUGAAACACCAUGAAAUGGUGUUCAACUGCCUUACUGAUCCAAGAAAUACAAGUUAAAAUAAAUAGUAAAAAUUUGAAGAAAUAUGACAGACAGAAAUAAAGUGAAAGAACCCUUUCAAACAUAAAAUCCUGUAUAAACUACAUUAAAAAUCUUAUGAGGAAAGAUCUAUAAAUAAUGACACCUUGUGGUCCCUGAAUGAAAUCACUGCUUUGUCAUUUUUUCAUCUAGAGUAAAAUCCACAGGUUUUCUAUCAACUUUUUAGAAUUCUUUUCUUAAAAUGAAUGGGUAGCUUAAGAUGAAUCAUAGAUGUUUGAGGAAAACUUUAAGCAUGAAUGACAGAGGCUAAAAAAUAAAACAAAAUACAGAAAAACUUAGAGAACAUAAAGACAA